This 375-nucleotide non-coding RNA is filed under the name Pongo abelii (Sumatran orangutan). Lineage: Eukaryota; Metazoa; Chordata; Mammalia; Primates; Hominidae. The record is from RNAcentral.
CUGGCGGUGUUUCGGCUUCGGCGCUUUAACUCUGCCUGCGGGGCGGGGGCGGGGUGGCGCCCAGGACGACUCUCCGGGCUCAGCUUGGCUGCCUGCCUCCUUCUCAAACAAUGAGUACCUACUGUGUGCAGAAGCAGCAGGACAGCCUGUCAUCACUGGGAAAGAGGCCAGAAGAGCCAUUUGGCCAGGGUCUCCAAUUUAGGCUUUCAACAUUAUCUCUAAAUAAGGUUAUACAUUACGUCGGCUCCACUGGCUGAUGGGAUCAAAGACCCUCCUUGUAUAUCCUUAAACCUGUACUCUAAUACCAGGCCACUGUGCCUGUGGAGCACUGUAAGUUCCUACCUUUUAAUAAAUUUUAUAAUUAUCUUGUGAGCA